AGCUCUGUAAGCGUAUACCAAAGUUGUUGCAGUUAAAACGCUCGUAGUCGGAGGUUGGCGGGCGGCGCGGGGCGUCCUCACGGACGGUUCUGCGGCGGCCGCCUUUGUGGAUGGGGGCUAGAGCGAUGUUUCAUUACAUUGCACUAGUCGCUGCCACCGUUUACUGUGAAAAAAUUAGAGUGUUCAAAGCGGGCGUUUGCCAUGAAUAAAUUAGCAUGGAAUAAUAGAAUAGGACCUGUGUUCUGUUUUGUUGGUUUGUGAGGCGCGGGUAAUGAUUAAGAGGGACGGUUGGGGGCAUUUGUAUUCCGGCGUCAGAGGUGAAAUUCUUGGAUUGCCGGAAGACAAACAGCUGCGAAAGCGUCUGCCAAGGACGUUUUCAUUGAUCAAGAACGAAAGUAGG
RNAcentral lists this ribosomal RNA (400 nucleotides) under phytoplankton environmental sample. RNAcentral's name for it is "partial small subunit ribosomal RNA". It matches the Rfam family "Eukaryotic small subunit ribosomal RNA", at positions 587 to 993 of the family's 1831-position model. The record is from RNAcentral.